CUCGUAGGCUGUUUGGUCAGUCAGACGUGAAAGCCCGCGGCUUAACCGCGGAACUGCGUUUGAUACUGCCAGACUUGAGUGUCGGAGAGGGUGGCGGAAUUCCGGGUGUAGGAGUGAAAUCCGUAGAUAUCCGGAGGAACACCAGUGGCGAAGGCGGCCACCUGGACGACAACUGACGCUGAGGAGCGAAAGCGUGGGGAGCGAACAGGAUUAGAUACCCUGGUAGUCCACGCGGUAAACGAUGGAUGCUGGGUGUCGGGGGUUUACCCUCGGUGCCGCAGUUAACGCGUUAAGCAUCCCGCCUGGGGAGUACGGUCGCAAGGCUGAA
RNAcentral lists this ribosomal RNA (328 nucleotides) under uncultured bacterium. Its description in RNAcentral is "bacterial SSU rRNA". It matches the Rfam family "Bacterial small subunit ribosomal RNA", at positions 568 to 898 of the family's 1533-position model. The record is from RNAcentral.